GGGGAAUAUUGCGCAAUGGGCGAAAGCCUGACGCAGCAACGCCGCGUGUGUGAUGAAGGCCUUCGGGUCGUAAAGCUCUGUCGGAGGGAACGAAUGUUUUUGAGGUUAACAGCCUCAGGAAGUGACGGUACCCUCAAAGGAAGCACCGGCUAACUCUGUGCCAGCAGCCGCGGUAAUACAGAGGGUGCUAGCGUUGUUCGGAAUCAUUGGGCGUAAAGGGCGCGUAGGCGGCUUUUCAAGCGUGCGGUGAAAGCUCGGGGCUUAACUCCGAGUCUGCCGUGCGAACUGGGAGGCUUGAGUCUGGUAGAGGUCGAUGGAAUUCCGGGUGUAGCGGUGGAAUGCGUAGAGAUCCGGAAGAACACCGGUGGCGAAGGCGGUCGACUGGGCCAGUACUGACGCUGAGGCGCGACAGCGUGGGGAGCAAA
Molecule: ribosomal RNA, 425 nt
Filed under: uncultured bacterium
Lineage: Bacteria
Description: bacterial SSU rRNA
Rfam family: Bacterial small subunit ribosomal RNA
Source: RNAcentral